RNAcentral lists this ribosomal RNA (133 nucleotides) under uncultured bacterium. RNAcentral's name for it is "partial 16S ribosomal RNA". The record is from RNAcentral.
CGUAGUUAGCCGUGACUUAUUCCUGAGGUACCGUCCUUCCUCGUCCCCCAGAAAAGAGCUUUACAACCCGAAGGCCUUCAUCGCUCACGCGGCGUUGCUGCCUCAGACUUGCGUCCAUUGGGCAAUAUUCCUC